RNAcentral lists this unclassified non-coding RNA (220 nucleotides) under Hevea brasiliensis (rubber tree). The record is from RNAcentral. Lineage: Eukaryota; Viridiplantae; Streptophyta; Magnoliopsida; Malpighiales; Euphorbiaceae.
UUUGUAGGGUUUUGGAAACUGAUGAAGCUUAUUUUGCUUGAUUGGAUCUUCGAUAGAUUUUCUUUUUUAGUUAGAUUAUGUCGUAGAUGAUUGGUUUUGUUUUGAAUCACUGCCAGUUUUUUUUUUUUCUCAGUUUAUUGUGUGUUCUAUAUCUAUUUGGACUUGUUCCUUGUUUCUCCAGGGCCAUUGGUUGAUUGUUUAGAAUUAGAUUGAGAAAUUG